AGCUCACCUUAGUCUCUUUAUUAAACUAAACAAACUUUUAGACUUAAGAGCUAUUCAAAUAAGGCACAGCUUAUUUGAAAUAGGACACAACCUACAACAUAGGGUAAAUGAGAGUGACCUAAAUAAAGUGGGCCUAAAAGCAGCCACCUUCAGAAAAGCGUUAAAGCUUAACUACCUUCACUCAUAAUGCCUAAAAUCUCCACUAACCCUUCAUUACUACUGAACAAUUUUAUACUCAUAUAAAAGCUAUCAUGCUAGAACUAGUAACAAGAAACUGCUUUUCUCCUAAAUGUAAACAUAAACCAAAAUAGACCAUCUAUUGGUUAUUAACGUAAAUGCUAAACUGUAGCAACACUCACUAGAAAAUCCUAUAAACCCCAACGUUAACCUUACACCAGAACAUUACAGGAAAGAUUAAAAGAAAAAGAAGGAACUCGGCAAAUUUUAGCCUCGCCUGUUUACCAAAAACAUCGCCUCUUGACAAACAUAAGAGGUCCAGCCUGCCCAGUGACAAAGUUCAACGGCCGCGGUACCCUAACCGUGCAAAGGUAGCACAAUCACUUGUUCUUUAAAUGAGGACUCGUAUCAACGGCACUACGAGGGCUAUACUGUCUCCUUUUUCUAAUCAGUGAAACUGAUCUCCCCGUGAAGAAGCGGGGAUUGUAAUAUAAGACGAGAAGACCCCAUGGAGCUUUAAACUCACCAUGUACCCCUGUGCUCCCAUACCCCCAGACACAACAGACCUACAUGUUAGUUUUAGGUUGGGGUGACCACGGAGUAUAACUUAACCUCCAUAGCAAAUGGGCUAAUACCCUUAUCCACGAGACACAACUCUAAGAAUUACUAAACUAAUGCUUACGACCCGAUAUUCGAUCCAUGAACCAAGUUACCCUGGGGAUAACAGCGCAAUCUACUUCAAGAGCCCAUAUCGACAAGUAGGUUUACGACCUCGAUGUUGGAUCAGGGUAUCCCGGUGGUGCAGCCGCUACCAAUGGUUCGUUUGUUCAACGAUUAAAACCCUACGUGAUCUG
RNAcentral lists this ribosomal RNA (1031 nucleotides) under Rana chensinensis (Chinese brown frog). Its description in RNAcentral is "partial large subunit ribosomal RNA". It matches the Rfam family "Bacterial large subunit ribosomal RNA", at positions 929 to 2607 of the family's 2925-position model. Lineage: Eukaryota; Metazoa; Chordata; Amphibia; Anura; Ranidae. The record is from RNAcentral.